RNAcentral lists this ribosomal RNA (872 nucleotides) under Streptomyces sp. MIDE12. Its description in RNAcentral is "bacterial SSU rRNA". It matches the Rfam family "Bacterial small subunit ribosomal RNA", at positions 94 to 978 of the family's 1533-position model. Lineage: Bacteria; Bacillati; Actinomycetota; Actinomycetes; Kitasatosporales; Streptomycetaceae. The record is from RNAcentral.
AGUGGCGAACGGGUGAGUAACACGUGGGCAAUCUGCCCUGCACUCUGGGACAAGCCCUGGAAACGGGGUCUAAUACCGGAUGACACCCCCUCUCGCAUGGGAGGGGGUUGAAAGCUCCGGCGGUGCAGGAUGAGCCCGCGGCCUAUCAGCUUGUUGGUGAGGUAGAAGCUCACCAAGGCGACGACGGGUAGCCGGCCUGAGAGGGCGACCGGCCACACUGGGACUGAGACACGGCCCAGACUCCUACGGGAGGCAGCAGUGGGGAAUAUUGCACAAUGGGCGAAAGCCUGAUGCAGCGACGCCGCGUGAGGGAUGACGGCCUUCGGGUUGUAAACCUCUUUCAGCAGGGAAGAAGCGAAAGUGACGGUACCUGCAGAAGAAGCGCCGGCUAACUACGUGCCAGCAGCCGCGGUAAUACGUAGGGCGCAAGCGUUGUCCGGAAUUAUUGGGCGUAAAGAGCUCGUAGGCGGCUUGUCACGUCGGUUGUGAAAGCCCGGGGCUUAACCCCGGGUCUGCAGUCGAUACGGGCAGGCUAGAGUGUGGUAGGGGAGAUCGGAAUUCCUGGUGUAGCGGUGAAAUGCGCAGAUAUCAGGAGGAACACCGGUGGCGAAGGCGGAUCUCUGGGCCAUUACUGACGCUGAGGAGCGAAAGCGUGGGGAGCGAACAGGAUUAGAUACCCUGGUAGUCCACGCCGUAAACGGUGGGAACUAGGUGUUGGCGACAUUCCACGUCGUCGGUGCCGCAGCUAACGCAUUAAGUUCCCCGCCUGGGGAGUANGGCCGCAAGGCUAAAACUCAAAGGANUNGACGGGGGCCCGCACAAGCAGCGGANCAUGUGGCUUAAUUCGACGCAACGCGAAGAACCUUACCAAG